This 475-nucleotide ribosomal RNA is filed under the name uncultured bacterium. Its description in RNAcentral is "bacterial SSU rRNA". It matches the Rfam family "Bacterial small subunit ribosomal RNA", at positions 32 to 517 of the family's 1533-position model. The record is from RNAcentral.
AAUCAACGCUGGCGGCGUGCCUCAGACAUGCAAGUCGAACGAUUAAAGCUCUCUUCGGAGAGUGUAUAGAGUGGCGCACGGGUGAGUAACACGUAGGUAAUCUACCUUCAAGUGGGGAAUAACGUCCGGAAACGGACGCUAAUACCGCAUAAUGCAGCGGCAUCGCAAGAUGACAGUUGUUAAAGAUUUAUCGCUUGAAGAGGAGCUUGCGGCAGAUUAGCUAGUUGGUAAGGUAAUGGCUUACCAAGGCUACGAUCUGUAACCGGUCUAAGAGGACGGUCGGUCACACUGACACUGAAUAACGGGUCAGACUCCUACGGGAGGCAGCAGUCGGGAAUUUUGGGCAAUGGGCGAAAGCCUGACCCAGCAACGCCGCGUGAAGGAUGAAGUAUUUCGGUAUGUAAACUUCGAAAGAAUGGGAAGAAUCAAUGACGGUACCAUUUAUAAGGUCCGGCUAACUACGUGCCAGCAGCCG